CAAAAGCCAGCUAGAUGGUAAGGGAUAGAGAGCACCCGAGCUGAGCUGUCCGCAUCAGCUGCCACGGGGAAGCUGAAAUUGAAUACGCAGUCCUGUAAAUUGGUUACAGAAACACAGUUCAGAAGGAGAAAGCUAGUCAGAAUGAUCAAAAGCAGGAGGGCCUAAUACCAGUGGACACCUCGGUAAAACAAUUGUAAAAUUUGAGCCACUGCCCGGAGCGGAGAGAUAUCUGAGGAUCUCCAUUUAUGCACCAAGCUGGAAUCUGGAAUGUGCUUUGCUUCUCUCAUGGCCUGAACUAAAUACGCUGAAACAGAUGAAGAGGGUUCCUGGGGUCCCAACUCUGAGGCUCAGCACUUGAGUGACCAUGGAGCACUUCCUGAAUGAAUGGGGAUGUGAUCACAAGUCCUGUGAAGCCUGCUGCACAAGAUGACGGCUUCCACCCACCCGCAUCCUCAAGAUCUCCAGUCCCUGGUUUGUGCAGGCCAGCCCGGCAGGGCACCCCACCACGUCUCCCUCCCUGAGUCAGAUCAGGGCUGCAAAAGAUCUCCAAAGCGCAGAGGCGCAGAGAUGUGUGUGGAGGCAGGCCUGGCCCAGCCCCACCCCAGUGCCACAAGGGAGAUUUUAGCCUAAAGAGGAAACACCUUUCUCUUUUCCUCAAAUUUCCUUCCAUCUCUCCCUGCCACCCUCUUUCCUAAAUAACACUGGAGUUUGUGAACGUUCAGGGAGUCACACAGAAAAUGGCACUGCUUUUUUCCUACUUAAGCCAUGCUUUGUAUAGCUUCACACUGCAGCAGCAUCAGAGAAACUUGGGUUAAUGCGUAGGAGUCAUUUUAAGCCAUCGCUUUUCACUAGAGCCUUUAAAGAUAUAGUCAGUUAAAACAUUUUUGCUCUCCUAAAAGGAUAUUCUUUCCCCCUGAUAUGGCAGCUUACUGUAACAAUAUAACUGAUCCCUUCUAUAGGAAAAAUAGAGUCCACACCUUUAUUGAUUCUCUAAUUCUCUACUUCAUUACAUUCAUAAAAUCUCUUUAAAAAUUUAAUAAAAUCUUAGGCAACUUAUGACCACAACUGACUACUUAGCAGUUAGUAAAUCACUUCUGAUUUCUAAGGGUUGCUCAAUGUCAGUUCAGUGGAAGCAUAGCUGUUUUAAGUUGCAGUGAGAUAAAGUAUAACUGUCGCUGCCUCUCCCUUCCCAGC
Molecule: long non-coding RNA, 1194 nt
Organism: Bos taurus (domestic cattle)
Lineage: Eukaryota; Metazoa; Chordata; Mammalia; Artiodactyla; Bovidae
Source: Ensembl